Molecule: long non-coding RNA, 513 nt
Organism: Daphnia pulicaria
Lineage: Eukaryota; Metazoa; Arthropoda; Branchiopoda; Diplostraca; Daphniidae
Exons: 3
Source: RefSeq, a predicted model, not a curated record
AGCAUGUCCAUUAAGCGACCAGGAGUAGCUACAAUGAUGUGAACCCCUCUAAAGAUGACAAUAAUUUAUUACGAGAUACAGAAUUAGAAAGACAGGACUUUAUUCUGGGCAUCCCUUGCUGAGCUAAACAAUCGGCAAAAUGCUCUACUGUUUCGAGAAUUUGUUUCGCCAACUCACGUGAUGGGCACACAAUUAAGCCUGAAGUUUUAAAUUGAUAUUACAUUCAAUUCAAGGCAAAAACUUAACAUAAGAGCAAAAAACUUACCAAAUGGGCCUUCAUUCGGUAAAAAUGGCAUCUUAAGCUCUUGCUCUAAACUAAAUACAACAAUUGGCAAGACAAACACCAAAGUCUUGCCACUACCAGUAAAGGCUAUGCCAAUCAUGUCUCGACCACUCAACCUAAACAUUUCAAAGUAAAUAAGGUGAUGGCUGCUUGAUUCCUUUUUUCUGUAAACCAACCAAAAUUCCUUUGGGAAAUUUCAUGGCAUUAAAUGAUGGUAUAGGAAGUGGCAC